Molecule: non-coding RNA, 3233 nt
Organism: Cyanistes caeruleus (blue tit)
Lineage: Eukaryota; Metazoa; Chordata; Aves; Passeriformes; Paridae
Source: RefSeq, a predicted model, not a curated record
UCAACAGGAAUUCCCUCUGCAAUGAUGAUGUAAAUCUGUGACUAAAAAUGGACUCUUAAGAACAUGUGAAACACUUAGUUUAUAUUUGCCAUGCUUUCUGAUGUUUGAGCCAGACUGUGCUAGCAAUGUUUUUCUCCAAGACUGAGGCUGCAAAGUAAUAGCGGUACAGAAAACAAAAUCAAAACUGUACAUUUUUAGUCACUGGCUUUUUUCCUCUCUUUGUUUUUCUUGUUUAAUUCUCACAGACAUAGGUUUAAGAUACAAGAGAAGCUCUUCCAUCUUAAACAACGUCUUAUUGAAAAAUUACCACAUAAUUGCAGGUAUGCUGCAAGUGGAAUAUAAGAAAUGGUAUGUUUUAAUAGCUGUGGUGAUGCUGGUUUGCAAGGUCUUUGCAUCUUGUGGAAGUCAUCAGGAAAUAUCAGGUGACUGUAAUUUGUAAUAGAACUACUUAAUAGACUAUAGCUCUUCCCAGAAUAUAUGGGGUUUAAAUACCUGUAUUUUUUCCCUACUUAUUUCUUGAUUACAGUGUAAUUGGCUUUUUUUCUGACAAAUAAAGCUUUUGAAAAGUUAUUCAGGUCUUCUAAAGGUUUUGUACUAGACCUGCCUGAAUACUGUGGAGUCUUUAGUCCAACAAGAGAUUUCUUUUGGUAUCAUGUAUUUUUUAAGCAGAGCUGUUCAGAGACUUGUUCAACUCAUAAAUGCUGGGUAUGUCAUUCUAUCCAAAAGGUCACCAGAAAAUCAAGAAGUCUCUUCCUAAGGCUGUUCUAAAGGAAUUUUGAUGGCCUCUGUAGAAAAUUAGCUUUAAUAUAUCACACCAGUUUUUAUUUCAAAGAUUGCAACAUUUUUAACAGUGCUGCAAAGUCUGAUCAGAAUCAAUUAUUUUUCUGAUAAACAACCAACUCCUAGUGUUUUUCUCUUUUAAAAACAAAGCCUGACUUUGACCUCCUUUUUGAGUCCAAAACUCAGGCUGCAUUCCACUGGCCUUCCACCAAGGAGGGGUUACCAGUUAACAUUACUUUUGAAAGAUAUAUCUGUCUUGUGCCCACCUGUAGCUGAGGAAGCACUGAAAAUUGAACCAGUCCACUGAGGUUAUGAUGUUCUGUGCUACUUUUGUAGCCUCAUUUUCAUUUUAUAUUUACCAAAACCAAACAUUUCAGGUAUAAAAAAAUUCUAAUAGCAAAAAUAUAUAUUUCUAUAUUUCAUAUCUGAACAUGUGCUUUUAUAGAUAUGUUGAAAUAAGUUUAGUACAGAAGAAAAUAGUUCAGGACUAAAAAAAUCUGGAUAGCUCACUCCCUGAGAAACCACCUUUUUAAACAUAAAGAAGCCUUCAAAGUGCAUCUGCUUUUCUAGAUUCAAGCUGAUUGACACCAUGGAGUUUUUACCAUACUUAUUUACACUACAUUUGCAGAGAAGGAUCAGUGCUUAGAACUCUCCUAAACAGAAGAGCCAUGCCUGCCCAAGGAAGGAUUUGUACUCCCAAGGGAAAAAAUUCUUGGAACUCCUGAUGCAAUGUGCCAGGAUAGUGGCAUGAUUUUUUUAUGGUGAAAAAGUCUUGGGAGGUCCUAAGGUCUUCUGAGCUGGUGAAAGGCAAUCUCCUGGCCUGAAAAACAGCAUCUUUCUGGCUUGAAAAUAGAGGUAGCUGGGUUUGAAUGACUUCUUAAUGGUCAGGAGCAAUGUUCUAGAAACUGUGAAAAAAGAUAAGGUGAGUAUUCAUCAAUGCUCUGUCAGUUCACAUAGCAUUGGUACCUACUGACCUUAAUGUGACUGCUGAGGGUCAGACUCUCCCUGCUAUUUACACAACCAAAACAGAGUACAAAAUGCUCUGUUCUAUGAUGGAGUAAGAAACAAUGCUCCUAUUUUAGCUGUAGUUGGCAAAUGCGUUGGAACUACUGAUAUUUACUCCUCUCAGGAGAAUUAAUCCACAAGCACCAGAGGCUGAUGUCCAAAAAGGAGACAGAGGACUCCUGUAACUUUAUUCGAAUAAAGGGAGAGGCCACGGGGCAUUUCCUCUGUGGUCUCUCAGACUUUAGGAGGAAGCAGCCUCCUUUUUAUCCCAGUUUCCCAGCCACAUUUACCUUUCCCCAUUGCCUGAGGUACCUGGGAGGUACAGACUUCCCAAACACCUGAGACUCCCUUCUAAUGUAUAUCCCCCACCUUUUGUCUUUUCCAGGUGUCACUCAGUGGAAUUCCUUAUGGAAUUUAUGGUUCUUCCCAUUGCUUCUUUCAUCUCUCAGUAUCCAAUUUAUCAGCAGACCUACAGUUUGUUUGUAAAGACAAAUCUCUCAUUCCAUUUAUCAAUCACUGGAAUCCUUCCCAUUGUUUCUUUUAUCUCUCAGUAUCUAGCUCUAUUUACCAGCAGAUCCACAGUGUGUUUGUAAAGACAAGUCCCUCAUUCCUUUCACUCUGAAUUCUCCUGUGGUUUUGAUUUUGAAAAGGUGACAGCAAUGUUUGCUCUUUGAAUAUAUAAACACAUUAUUUAUUCCAAAUAAUGGCAAAAUUAUGUUCAGUUAUUAUGAAUGGAAUAUGCUCUGUAAAUUCAUCAAUGAAACUUGAAUGUGCCCACAGUUCCACAAAUGCUGGAUUGUUUUCUCCCUUUCUUGGUAGGAAUGGAAGAAUGUUUUAAUGUUAUCUUGUGAAAGGAAGCUGAAACUACCUCAUGGUUUCAAUUUAUGGACUGGAAGAUGUGGAAGAUACUGUAACAGGAAGGCAGGUGCAGUAGAAGAGUAAGGAUGUUCUGUCAGCUGUGGUCAAGGGAAAAUAGCAAUUUGCUGUUGUCAGUUAUUGUGUAUAGAAGACAUUCUGAAAGCAUUGAAUUCAGGCUUGGGAACAGUCAAACAGGCUUCCAGUAUGUGUUCUGCUAUGUGUGAAGUGAUUUCUAUGCAAAUCAUGCCAGCUGGAGAGAAGACACCAGACCUUUGUUUGGCUGAUUACUACAGGAGGUACAAGCUCUAAAGGUUUGCAAUAUCCUUGUAAUGUCCACAGAACACACUGGAGUUUAGGUAAUAAGUUCUUCAUGAAUGUGCGUGACAGAAGCUCUGCAGCCUCUGCCAGUCUCAGCAUUUUGAGUUUCUUAGGGCGGUUGUACAGGUCAGAUUGUGCUUUUGAUGUUAUUUUCUUCCGCGCACCUGAUCUCAUUACUUAGCGUGGUUCAAAGGUUACUAAAAGUAAUUUAUUUCCAUUCUUGAUGUUAACAGAAAAAUGAAGAAUGAUUACAAGUUUGUUGGAUUUUUUUU